This 26-nucleotide non-coding RNA is filed under the name Homo sapiens (human). Lineage: Eukaryota; Metazoa; Chordata; Mammalia; Primates; Hominidae. The record is from RNAcentral.
UGAUCAAUGCUGUGUUUGCCAAGAUC